RNAcentral lists this ribosomal RNA (429 nucleotides) under Chloroflexota bacterium. RNAcentral's name for it is "Chloroflexi bacterium partial 16S ribosomal RNA". It matches the Rfam family "Bacterial small subunit ribosomal RNA", at positions 355 to 776 of the family's 1533-position model. Lineage: Bacteria; Bacillati; Chloroflexota. The record is from RNAcentral.
UGGGGAAUAUUGCACAAUGGGCGCAAGCCUGAUGCAGCCAUGCCGCGUGUGUGAAGAAGGCCUUCGGGUUGUAAAGCACUUUCAGCGGGGAGGAAGGCGGUGAGGUUAAUAACCUCACCGAUUGACGUUACCCGCAGAAGAAGCACCGGCUAACUCCGUGCCAGCAGCCGCGGUAAUACGGAGGGUGCAAGCGUUAAUCGGAAUUACUGGGCGUAAAGCGCACGCAGGCGGUCUGUCAAGUCGGAUGUGAAAUCCCCGGGCUCAACCUGGGAACUGCAUUCGAAACUGGCAGGCUAGAGUCUUGUAGAGGGGGGUAGAAUUCCAGGUGUAGCGGUGAAAUGCGUAGAGAUCUGGAGGAAUACCGGUGGCGAAGGUGGCCCCCUGGACAAAGACUGACGCUCAGGUGCGAAAGCGUGGGGAGCAAACAGG